UGUUGGCAGCUGGACAAAGUAGUAAAAUAACUGGCACAUUUGCUGGGCAAUUUAUCAUGGGAAACCUUCGCCUGAAGAAAUGGCUGAGGGCCCUGAUAAUAUGUAGUUGUGCUAUUAUGCCAACUAUGAUAGUAGCUCGUGUUCAACACGUCUGAAGCUUCAUUGGAUAUUUUGAAUGAAUGGAUAAAUUUAGUUAAGUCAAUACAGAUCCCUUUUGCACUUAUCACCCAUUUUACUUUGGUGGCUAGCAGGUCAGGGGGGUCUUUAGAAUUGGGCCUGUUCUUG
RNAcentral lists this unclassified non-coding RNA (285 nucleotides) under Hevea brasiliensis (rubber tree). The record is from RNAcentral. Lineage: Eukaryota; Viridiplantae; Streptophyta; Magnoliopsida; Malpighiales; Euphorbiaceae.